Long non-coding RNA from Ornithodoros turicata, 641 nucleotides. RefSeq lists it as uncharacterized. The record is from RefSeq and is a predicted model, not a curated record. The transcript has 4 exons. NCBI's taxonomy places the organism in Eukaryota, Metazoa, Arthropoda, Arachnida, Ixodida, Argasidae.
UCUCGAUGGCAAAAAGUUGGAAGGGCCGCUCCUGUGUUUCCUUCCUCCAUGCUCAAGGACGCCGGCGUCUCGCCGUCAGCAAGUGCGCAACGCGGAGCAAUACAGCAUUGUCACCUGAGCCGCUAACUGGAAGCCCGCGAAAUUCUUUCCUCGUAGACCAUGUCGUAGACGCAUGAGACGCUCCGUGAAGUUUUAAGUGUUUGGAAGUGCAUCUAGUGUUUGGUCUUUGGCCGACUGUACCCCCCGCAAAGCAAAGCCAGCAGUGUGGACAGUGAGGAAGCACAUAUUGCACGCUGAAAACGUCACCUCAUCACAGAUGCAUCGUGCACUGUGAGUUGACAGCCCCUUCUUGUGUGCUUCGACAGUCACUAUUCAUGGGACUCAACAUACAACAGGACACUAUCUUGUGGUCUAUAGAGACGAGUACAACCUGUGCUAUGGGAAACUGUUACACAUCUUUGUGGAAACUGGCCCGGAGGUGAUGCCAAUUUUUCUUUUUCGCAUGACGCCAUCAAGCUUCCUACUAGACCUCAGGCUAUACCAUCUUGAAUCUCAGGAUAUCACUGCUCAACCAUGAUUAUGGAGACGUUUCUGAAGAUCAGGAGUAGAGAACAUGUCUUCAGGAGCGAAUCAGAGUCAGA